RNAcentral lists this transfer RNA (73 nucleotides) under Candidatus Kaiserbacteria bacterium RIFCSPLOWO2_01_FULL_54_13. RNAcentral describes it as "tRNA-Val". It matches the Rfam family "tRNA". From Rfam's summary of the family: Transfer RNA (tRNA) molecules are approximately 80 nucleotides in length. Their secondary structure includes four short double-helical elements and three loops (D, anti-codon, and T loops). Further hydrogen bonds mediate the characteristic L-shaped molecular structure. tRNAs have two regions of fundamental functional importance: the anti-codon, which is responsible for specific mRNA codon recognition, and the 3' end, to which the tRNAs corresponding amino acid is attached (by aminoacyl-tRNA synthetases). tRNAs cope with the degeneracy of the genetic code in two manners: having more than one tRNA (with a specific anti-codon) for a particular amino acid; and 'wobble' base-pairing, i.e. permitting non-standard base-pairing at the 3rd anti-codon position. Lineage: Bacteria; Candidatus Kaiseribacteriota. The record is from RNAcentral.
GUGCGAUUAGCUCAGCCGGUAGAGCGCUCCCUUCACACGGGAGAGGUCACAGGUUCAAGUCCUGUAUCGCACA